RNAcentral lists this long non-coding RNA (202 nucleotides) under Lathyrus oleraceus (garden pea). RNAcentral's name for it is "Pisum sativum (pea) long non-coding RNA (PSAT_LNC020305)". The record is from RNAcentral. Lineage: Eukaryota; Viridiplantae; Streptophyta; Magnoliopsida; Fabales; Fabaceae.
AAAUUCGAAAGGCACGUCUGGGUUUGCAAGGCAAUGUCAGGGUUUGCGGGAGACGGAGGCGAAAGUGUGUGAGUCCGAGUGAACCUUUCAGAGUUGCGUGGAGGUUGCUGCAGAGUAGUUCGUAGGUUUCCCUUUUGCCUCUUUUCUCUCUCUUUUUCUCUAGGGUUUGUAAUAGUCUCCAGCCUGUUUUUCUCUAAUAAUC